GCCGCCGUGGGGCAGAGCUACGGGGCAGCGCCGUGGGGCGCCCCACGGAUCCCCCCCCCUCACCCUUUCUGUGUCCCCCCCCCCAGUGCACAAAAAACCGCUGCAGGAGGUGGAGAUCGCCGCCAUCACCCACGGGGCGCUGCAAGGCCUGGCUUAUCUCCACGCCCACAACAUGAUCCACAGAGACGUCAAAGCCGGCAACAUCCUGCUGACGGAGCCGGGCCAGGUGAAGUUGGGGGAUUUCGGCUCGGCCUCCAUCGUCGCCCCCGCCAACUCCUUCGUGGGGACGCCCUAUUGGUAAGGGGGCGGGCGAACGGCGGGGAAAACGCUUGUGGGGCUCGGCCCCACGGCGAGGCCCGACCCUCCCUUUGCUUUUUAGGAUGGCGCCCGAGGUGAUUUUGGCCAUGGACGAGGGGCAGUACGACGGCAAAGCCGACGUCUGGUCGUUGGGCAUCACCUGCAUCGAGUUGGGUGAGAAUUCGGGGAGGGUUUGGGGCAGCCCUCGGCGAUGUGGGGCUGCCCCACGGCUCUGACCCCCAAGUUUUUCACCCGGCAGCGGAAAGAAAACCGCCGCUCUUCAACAUGAACGCGAUGAGUGCCUUAUACCACAUUGCGCAAAACGAGUCCCCCGUUCUCCAAGCCAGCCACUGGUGAGACGCCGCCCCCCCACCCCAAAAAAAAAUACUGGGGCGCCCGCGUCCGUCUGUCCCCGUCCUCAUCCCGUUUUGAAACGCCCAGGUCGGAAUAUUUCCGGAAUUUUGUGGAUUCUUGUCUCCAGAAGAUCCCCCCGGACCGUCCCACCUCCGACGUUCUUCUCAAGGUAGAACUUUAAGGGGGGGGGGGACCACGAAGGUCCCGUAACGGGGACGGGGCGCGGGCGGUCCCCAACUUUGGGGACCCCCCCAAUGUCCCCCUUUGUGUCCGUGUGUCCGUCCGUGUCCGUCCCCCCCCCACCAUCUCCCCCAGCACCGGUUCCUGCUGCGGGAGCGUCCCCAGAGGGUGGUGUUGGACCUGAUCCAAAGGACCAAGGACGCCGUCAGGGAGCUGGACAACCUCCAGUACCGGAAAAUGAAGAAAAUUCUCUUC
Molecule: long non-coding RNA, 1086 nt
Filed under: Accipiter nisus (Eurasian sparrowhawk)
Lineage: Eukaryota; Metazoa; Chordata; Aves; Accipitriformes; Accipitridae
Description: lncRNA (ENSANIG00000011967.1)
Source: RNAcentral